UGCUGUGAUUUUCAGGCUGAUAUCAUUCAAUUUGACCAUUUAGAACAGGGGGAACGCAUCCUGACAGUCAUUAUCUGGGACUAGGGGAAACACAUCUCGACGGGGAAACAGAUCUCGACACAACACCGGCCUCAAGCAACCCAGGCUUUGGACGGCGCCCCCGAGGAUGACACCACCGUGGAAAUGGAAAUGGGUGAAAACACUGUCUCUGGUUGUACUGAGUUGGCUUCGACACCUCUGAUGGAAGACCACGAUUACACAGCCAGCUCUUUCAUCGUGGUCGACCGUGAGAAAUUUGAGAGCAUGUCGAGGCAGAUCGAGGAGCUCACACGGCAAAUCGAAACACUGCACAUGGAGAGAUUUGGAUUGCAACGGUUUUCUACAUCACCUAGUGACAUUCGCUACUAUUCCAGAUUUCCAUCAUAUGAACAUUUGAUGGCCUUUUGGGAUCUAAUUCAAGAGGCAACAAGCAGAAUGGUGAGAGUCACCAGUGGUCAGAAGAACCUCUCCACCAGUACAUCCACUGAGACCCCUAUGAACAGACCAACAAAACUGCUGCCAAUUGACGAGCUCUUCCUCUUCCUCAACUACCUGUCAACCGGCUGUACACAAAGGGAGCUUGGUCACAAGUUCAAUAUCCACAGAGCAACAGCAAGCAGAAUAAUUGUGACGUGGUCCAACUUUUUGUAUACUUUGCUUGGAUCGCGUUAGCAUGACGUGUCACUGCCUGUU
Long non-coding RNA from Gadus morhua (Atlantic cod), 732 nucleotides. RefSeq lists it as uncharacterized. The record is from RefSeq and is a predicted model, not a curated record. NCBI's taxonomy places the organism in Eukaryota, Metazoa, Chordata, Actinopteri, Gadiformes, Gadidae. The transcript has 3 exons.